AUAUCAUUAAGCGGAGGAAAAGAAACUAACAAGGAUGCCCUCAGUAACGGCGAGUGAAGUGGGCAAAGCUCAAACUGAAAAUCGGUUCCUUAGCGGGGUUUCGAAUUGUGGUCUAUAGACGCGCUAGCAGCAAUGCCCGGGUAUAAAUCUUUUGAAACAAGGUGUCAUAGAGGGUGAGAACCCCGUCCAUGACUCGGUGUCCGUUGCGUACGCUGCGUGUUCAAAGAGUCGGGUUGCUUGGGAUUGCAGCCCUAAGUGGGUGGUAAACUUCAUCUAAAGCUAAAUAUUGGCGAGAGACCGAUAGCGCACAAGUA
RNAcentral lists this ribosomal RNA (314 nucleotides) under uncultured eukaryote. RNAcentral's name for it is "partial large subunit ribosomal RNA". It matches the Rfam family "Eukaryotic large subunit ribosomal RNA", at positions 40 to 350 of the family's 3401-position model. The record is from RNAcentral.